This is a long non-coding RNA of Equus quagga, 170 nucleotides long. RefSeq lists it as uncharacterized. Lineage: Eukaryota; Metazoa; Chordata; Mammalia; Perissodactyla; Equidae. The transcript has 3 exons. The record is from RefSeq and is a predicted model, not a curated record.
GACGCUGUAAGGAUAAGGUCCCCUCUGUGCCUCACAGGAGCAUGAUAUGCAGCAGAGCAGGCCGACUGACUCUCCUGCUUCGGUUCGGGGGUAGCUGACGAGUGGAGAGGCUCCGCCUGUCUCCGAGCUGACUGCAGACAUCCAGCACCAUCGACGGGUUCAGAUGCACA